UGAGUCGGACAGACGGCCGCGCGAGGGGUGACUCUCGUGAGGAAAGUCGGGGCUCCACAGGGCAGGAUGCCUGCUAACAGCAGGGCGCGGUGACGCGACGGAAAGUGCCACAGAAAAGAAAACCCCCACCGCUGGCGGUGAGGAAAGCUGAAACGGUGUGGUAAGAGCGCACCAGCGUCGCGGAGACGCGACGGCUUGGCAAACCCCAUCCGGAGCAAGAGUACAUAGGGAUCCGAUCGGUCGGCCCGACCGGAGAUCCGGGUAGCUCGCUAGAGGGUGGCGGCGACGUCACUCCCAGAGAGAUGGUCGUCCUCGACAGAACCCCGCUUAUCGUCCGACUCACACC
Molecule: RNase P RNA, 346 nt
Filed under: Actinomycetes bacterium
Lineage: Bacteria; Bacillati; Actinomycetota; Actinomycetes
Description: RNase P RNA component class A
Rfam family: Bacterial RNase P class A
About the family: Ribonuclease P (RNase P) is a ubiquitous endoribonuclease, found in archaea, bacteria and eukarya as well as chloroplasts and mitochondria. Its best characterised activity is the generation of mature 5'-ends of tRNAs by cleaving the 5'-leader elements of precursor-tRNAs.
Source: RNAcentral